CCUGUGGUGUUAGUGUUAUACAGUACUACAUACCUGUGGUGUUAUAGUGUUAUACAGUACUACAUACCUGUGGUGUUAUAGUGUUAUACAGUAUUACAGUACCUGUGGUGUUAGUGUUAUACAGUA
This 126-nucleotide long non-coding RNA is filed under the name Oncorhynchus mykiss (rainbow trout). Its description in RNAcentral is "lncRNA (ENSOMYG00000056828.1)". The record is from RNAcentral. Lineage: Eukaryota; Metazoa; Chordata; Actinopteri; Salmoniformes; Salmonidae.